GGCUCUGACAUUCAUCCGAUCCCGCGCUUCGCUUGCUCAUCGUUUGCCGUUUCAGAAUCGAGGGGAAGCGAACCAAAUCGAGAACAUGGAGGUGGAGAAAGCGUUGGUGCUAUGGAACAUCAGCAGCUGUCCGAUUCCAGAUGGUCAUGAUCCUCUUAUGGUGGUUCAGAGAAUACAAGCGGCGGUGGAGAAGUCCGGCUACGUCCGCCGCAACGGCGAGAUCUCAAUCACUGCCAUUGGCGACAAACUAACAGAGGUCCCUGGCGAAGACGUCAUGAGGAGGCUCUCUUCCAUCGGAAUCGCUCUUAAAAACGCUGACGGUUUAAAUCUUUCUUCCUUUGUCUGUGUGAAGAUAAGGGAUUCAGAAUUCUUCUUGCAUAUCCUCACCGUGACCUAGCAGCCACACCCUUCCCAUGUAAACAGUGGGAUUGGGCUGCCUUGUUCUCAGAUGAACAGGAGACGACAACAGCAACAACAACAAGCCUUAUCGGUGGAUCUCCCUGGUUCUGUGAAGUAUGCUUUGUUGCUGCCCCAAGCCUUGAAGAUUUCACCACCCAUCUCAAGUCUGUAAAACAUGCAUAUGGUGAGUGGGACAGGCAUGCUAGUAAAAACAAUGUGGAUCGUACUAACCCUGCUAACCUGCCCUUUGGUCGAUCAAAUGAGUUGGACUUGCUGCUUAAUCAAGACAUGCUUAGACGUCAGAUGUUAACGUCCGGGCGCGGGCGCCGGCGCAGGCGCGGGCCGCUCGGCCCUCUUAGGCCUCAACACACAUUUAACCUAACGCAU
Molecule: long non-coding RNA, 786 nt
Organism: Brassica oleracea var. oleracea
Lineage: Eukaryota; Viridiplantae; Streptophyta; Magnoliopsida; Brassicales; Brassicaceae
Exons: 4
Source: RefSeq, a predicted model, not a curated record